UAAUAAGUGUUUUAUGGCACUUUUUUAAAGUCCAUAUCCACCUUGUGUGCAAUGUCAGUCGAUCUUCUUCAUGGAGAUCGACCAAACAUCAACCUUUAUCUUUUUAAACACUCUUUGUCUGAAAAAUAUUAUGAAUAAACAAUUCAAAAUA
Molecule: unclassified non-coding RNA, 151 nt
Filed under: soil metagenome
Description: partial internal transcribed spacer 1
Source: RNAcentral